AAUGCCAUUGGAUUGGAGCUGUUCAUGCAGAUGAUGAUGUGGCACGAUCAGGAGUAGGUGCGUCAAAUCAUUUGAUCAAUGGUCGGUCUGGAUGUUGUCACGUAUCAUCAUCUGAUGAGACUUCGAUUUGACCAUUUUCAUCCUGACUGUUGAUGGAUCCUAUAUAUAUAGGGUCACUUUUGGUCAAACUUUUACUUUGCAUUUUGUCUUCAUCCUCUGC
This 220-nucleotide long non-coding RNA is filed under the name Elaeis guineensis (African oil palm). RNAcentral describes it as "long non-coding RNA (EGUI_LNC055972)". Lineage: Eukaryota; Viridiplantae; Streptophyta; Magnoliopsida; Arecales; Arecaceae. The record is from RNAcentral.